GGCCGCCUGGCGAAAUGGCAUCGCGUCUGACUACGAUAGGGGUUCAACCACAAUUAUCGAUAAUCAGGAGAUCGCAGGUUCGACCCCUGCGGUGGUCA
Athelia sp. TMB is the source of this 98-nucleotide non-coding RNA. Lineage: Eukaryota; Fungi; Basidiomycota; Agaricomycetes; Atheliales; Atheliaceae. The record is from the annotation of a GenBank genome assembly.